CGGAGCGUAGCGCAGUCUGGUAGCGCACUGAUUUGGGAUCAGGGGUCGCAGGUUCGAAUCCUGCCGCUCCGACCA
Molecule: transfer RNA, 75 nt
Filed under: Brucella melitensis
Lineage: Bacteria; Pseudomonadati; Pseudomonadota; Alphaproteobacteria; Hyphomicrobiales; Brucellaceae
Description: tRNA-Pro
Rfam family: tRNA
About the family: Transfer RNA (tRNA) molecules are approximately 80 nucleotides in length. Their secondary structure includes four short double-helical elements and three loops (D, anti-codon, and T loops). Further hydrogen bonds mediate the characteristic L-shaped molecular structure. tRNAs have two regions of fundamental functional importance: the anti-codon, which is responsible for specific mRNA codon recognition, and the 3' end, to which the tRNAs corresponding amino acid is attached (by aminoacyl-tRNA synthetases). tRNAs cope with the degeneracy of the genetic code in two manners: having more than one tRNA (with a specific anti-codon) for a particular amino acid; and 'wobble' base-pairing, i.e. permitting non-standard base-pairing at the 3rd anti-codon position.
Source: RNAcentral